UGUGGUGUGGUUCAGCAGCUGAGUGCUUGCCUCGCAUGCGUGAAGCACUGGGUUCGAUCCUCAGCACCACAU
RNAcentral lists this transfer RNA (72 nucleotides) under Ictidomys tridecemlineatus (thirteen-lined ground squirrel). RNAcentral describes it as "Spermophilus tridecemlineatus (thirteen-lined ground squirrel) tRNA". It matches the Rfam family "tRNA". Rfam says of the family: Transfer RNA (tRNA) molecules are approximately 80 nucleotides in length. The record is from Rfam by way of RNAcentral. Lineage: Eukaryota; Metazoa; Chordata; Mammalia; Rodentia; Sciuridae.